CAAUAGCGUAUAUUUAAGUUGUUGCAGUUAAAAAGCUCGUAGUUGGAUUUCGGUUAAGAGCGACCGGUCCGCCGUUUGGUGUGCACUGGUUGGUUUUAGCUUCCUGUAGAGGACGUGCUCUGGGUUUAACGACCUGGACUCGGAGUCUACGUGGUUACUUUGAAAAAAUUAGAGUGUUCAAAGCGGGCUUACGCUUGAAUAUUUCAGCAUGGAAUAACACUAUAGGACUCCUGUCCUAUUUCGUUGGUCUCGGGACGGGAGUAAUGAUUAAGAGGAACAGUUGGGGGCAUUCGUAUUUCAUUGUCAGAGGUGAAAUUCUUGGAUUUAUGAAAGACGAACUUCUGCGAAAGCAUUUGCCAAGGAUGUUUNCAUUAA
Molecule: ribosomal RNA, 375 nt
Filed under: uncultured eukaryote
Lineage: Eukaryota
Description: partial 18S ribosomal RNA
Rfam family: Eukaryotic small subunit ribosomal RNA
Source: RNAcentral